CCCUUAGAUGUUCUGGGCCGCACGCGCGCUACACUGAUGCAUUCAACGAGUCUAAAACCUGCUCUGAUAGGGGUGGGUAAUCUUUUGAAUGUGCAUCGUGAUUGGGAUAGAUGAUUGCAAUUUUUCAUCUUCAACGAGGAAUGCCUAGUAAACGCAAGUCAUCAGCUUGCAUUGAAUACGUCCCUGCCCUUUGUACACACCGCCCGUCGCUCCUACCGAUUGAGUGGUCCGGUGAGGCUUUGGGAUCUGAGCGGAAAGAGCGUUUCGCUGUUUCUGCUCGGAAAACUCAGUCGAACCUUAUCAUUUAGAGGAAGGAGAAGUCGUAACA
Molecule: ribosomal RNA, 328 nt
Filed under: uncultured eukaryote
Lineage: Eukaryota
Description: partial 18S ribosomal RNA
Rfam family: Eukaryotic small subunit ribosomal RNA
Source: RNAcentral